GGGUUGUGAGGUUAAGCGACUAAGCGUACACGGUGGAUGCCCUGGCAGUCAGAGGCGAUGAAGGACGUGCUAAUCUGCGAAAAGCGUCGGUAAGGUGAUAUGAACCGUUAUAACCGGCGAUGUCCGAAUGGGGAAACCCAGUGUGAUUCGUCACACUAUCGUUAACUGAAUACAUAGGUUAACGAGGCGAACCGGGGGAACUGAAACAUCUAAGUACCCCGAGGAAAAGAAAUCAACCGAGAUUCCCCCAGUAGCGGCGAGCGAACGGGGAGCAGCCCAGAGUCUGAAUCAGCUUGUGUGUUAGUGGAACGGUCUGGAAAGUCCGACGGUACAGGGUGAUAGUCCCGUACACCAAAAUGCACAGGUUGUGAACUCGAAGAGUAGGGCGGGACACGUGGUAUCCUGUCUGAAUAUGGGGGGACCAUCCUCCAAGGCUAAAUACUCCUGACUGACCGAUAGUGAACCAGUACCGUGAGGGAAAGGCGAAAAGAACCCCGGCGAGGGGAGUGAAAAAGAACCUGAAACCGUGUACGUACAAGCAGUGGGAGCACCUUCGGGUGUGACUGCGUACCUUUUGUAUAAUGGGUCAGCGACUUAUAUUCUGUAGCAAGGUUAACCGUAUAGGGGAGCCGCAGGGAAACCGAGUCUUAACUGGGCGUUAAGUUGCAGGGUAUAGACCCGAAACCCGGUGAUCUAGCCAUGGGCAGGUUGAAGGUUGGGUAACACUAACUGGAGGACCGAACCGACUAAUGUUGAAAAAUUAGCGGAUGACUUGUGGCUGGGGGUGAAAGGCCAAUCAAACCGGGAGAUAGCUGGUUCUCCCCGAAAGCUAUUUAGGUAGCGCCUCGUGAAUUCAUCUUCGGGGGUAGAGCACUGUUUCGGCUAGGGGGUCAUCCCGACUUACCAACCCGAUGCAAACUACGAAUACCGAAGAAUGUUAUCACGGGAGACACACGGCGGGUGCUAACGUCCGUCGUGAAGAGGGAAACAACCCAGACCGCCAGCUAAGGUCCCAAAGUCAUGGUUAAGUGGGAAACGAUGUGGGAAGGCACAGACAGCCAGGAUGUUGGCUUAGAAGCAGCCAUCAUUUAAAGAAAGCGUAAUAGCUCACUGGUCGAGUCGGCCUGCGCGGAAGAUGUAACGGGGCUAAACCAUGCACCGAAGCUGCGGCAGCGACACUAUGUGUUGUUGGGUAGGGGAGCGUUCUGUAAGCCUGCGAAGGUGUGCUGUGAGGCAUGCUGGAGGUAUCAGAAGUGCGAAUGCUGACAUAAGUAACGAUAAAGCGGGUGAAAAGCCCGCUCGCCGGAAGACCAAGGGUUCCUGUCCAACGUUAAUCGGGGCAGGGUGAGUCGACCCCUAAGGCGAGGCCGAAAGGCGUAGUCGAUGGGAAACAGGUUAAUAUUCCUGUACUUGGUGUUACUGCGAAGGGGGGACGGAGAAGGCUAUGUUAGCCGGGCGACGGUUGUCCCGGUUUAAGCAUGUAGGCUGGUUGUCCAGGCAAAUCCGGAUAAUCAAGGCUGAGGUGUGAUGACGAGGCACUACGGUGCUGAAGUAACAAAUGCCCUGCUUCCAGGAAAAGCCUCUAAGCAUCAGGUAACAUUAAAUCGUACCCCAAACCGACACAGGUGGUCAGGUAGAGAAUACCAAGGCGCUUGAGAGAACUCGGGUGAAGGAACUAGGCAAAAUGGUGCCGUAACUUCGGGAGAAGGCACGCUGGUGUGUAGGUGAAGUCCCUGCGGAUGGAGCUGAGACCAGUCGAAGAUACCAGCUGGCUGCAACUGUUUAUUAAAACACAGCACUGUGCAAACACGAAAGUGGACGUAUACGGUGUGACGCCUGCCCGGUGCCGGAAGGUUAAUUGAUGGGGUUAUCCGUAAGGAGAAGCUCUUGAUCGAAGCCCCGGUAAACGGCGGCCGUAACUAUAACGGUCCUAAGGUAGCGAAAUUCCUUGUCGGGUAAGUUCCGACCUGCACGAAUGGCGUAAUGAUGGCCAGGCUGUCUCCACCCGAGACUCAGUGAAAUUGAACUCGCUGUGAAGAUGCAGUGUACCCGCGGCAAGACGGAAAGACCCCGUGAACCUUUACUAUAGCUUGACACUGAACAUUGAGCCUUGAUGUGUAGGAUAGGUGGGAGGCUUUGAAGCGUGGACGCCAGUCUGCGUGGAGCCAACCUUGAAAUACCACCCUUUAAUGUUUGAUGUUCUAACGUUGGCCCUUACCGGGGUUGCGGACAGUGUCUGGUGGGUAGUUUGACUGGGGCGGUCUCCUCCCAAAGCGUAACGGAGGAGCACGAAGGUUAGCUAAUCCUGGUCGGACAUCAGGAGGUUAGUGCAAUGGCAUAAGCUAGCUUGACUGCGAGCGUGACGGCGCGAGCAGGUGCGAAAGCAGGUCAUAGUGAUCCGGUGGUUCUGAAUGGAAGGGCCAUCGCUCAACGGAUAAAAGGUACUCCGGGGAUAACAGGCUGAUACCGCCCAAGAGUUCAUAUCGACGGCGGUGUUUGGCACCUCGAUGUCGGCUCAUCACAUCCUGGGGCUGAAGUAGGUCCCAAGGGUAUGGCUGUUCGCCAUUUAAAGUGGUACGCGAGCUGGGUUUAGAACGUCGUGAGACAGUUCGGUCCCUAUCUGCCGUGGGCGCUGGAGAAUUGAGGGGGGCUGCUCCUAGUACGAGAGGACCGGAGUGGACGCAUCACUGGUGUUCGGGUUGUCAUGCCAAUGGCACUGCCCGGUAGCUAAAUGCGGAAGAGAUAAGUGCUGAAAGCAUCUAAGCACGAAACUUGCCCCGAGAUGAGUUCUCCCUGAGACUUUAAGUCUCCUGAAGGAACGUUGAAGACGACGACGUUGAUAGGCCGGGUGUGUAAGCGCAGCGAUGCGUUGAGCUAACCGGUACUAAUGAACCGUGAGGCUUAACCUUACAACGCCGAAG
This 2921-nucleotide ribosomal RNA is filed under the name Klebsiella pneumoniae. Its description in RNAcentral is "23S ribosomal RNA". It matches the Rfam family "Bacterial large subunit ribosomal RNA". Lineage: Bacteria; Pseudomonadati; Pseudomonadota; Gammaproteobacteria; Enterobacterales; Enterobacteriaceae. The record is from RNAcentral.